GCGAAAUUCCUUGUCGGGUAACUUCCGACCCGCACGAAAGGCGUAACGAUCUGGGCACUGUCUCAACGAGAGACUCGGUGAAAUUAUAGUACCUGUGAAGAUGCAGGUUACCCGCGACAGGACGGAAAGACCCCGUGGAGCUUUACUGUAGCCUGAUAUUGAAUUUCGGUGCAGCUUGUACAGGAUAGGUAGGAGCCUUGGAAACCGGAGCGCUAGCUUCGGUGGAGGCAUCGGUGGGAUACUACCCUGGCUGUAUUGAAAUUCUAACCCGCACCCGUAAUCCGGGUGGGAGACAGUGUCAGGUGGGCAGUUUGACUGGGGCGGUCGCCUCCCAAAGAGUAACGGAGGCGCGCGAUGGUAAGCUCAAGACGGUCGGACAUCGUCUGUUGAGUGCAAUGGCAUAAGCUUGCCUGACUGCGAGAGUGACAACUCGAGCAGAGACGAAAGUCGGUCAUAGUGAUCCGGUGGUCCCGAGUGGAAGGGCCAUCGCUCAACGAAUAAAAGGUACUCCGGGGAUAACAGGCUGAUACCGCCCAAGAGUUCACAUCGACGGCGGUGUUUGGCACCUCGAUGUCGGCUCAUCACAUCCUGGGGCUGAAGCCGGUCCCAAGGGUAUGGCUGUUCGCCAUUUAAAGUGGUACGCGAGCUGGGUUUAGAACGUCGUGAGACAGUUCGGUCCCUAUCUGCCGUGGACGUUGGAGAUUUGAGGAAAGCUGCUCCUAGUACGAGAGGACCGGAGUGGACGAACCGCUGGUGUUCGGGUUGUGUCGCCAGACGCAUUGCCCGGUAGCUAUGUUCGGACAGGAUAACCGCUGAAAGCAUCUAAGCGGGAAGCCCCUUCCAAGAUGAGAUCUCCCUGGACCCUUGAGGUCCCUGAAGAGCCGUUCAAGACCAGGACGUUGAUAGGUCGGGUGUGUAAGCGCUGCGAGGCGUUGAGCUAACCGAUACUAAUUGCUCGUGCGGCUUGAC
This 969-nucleotide ribosomal RNA is filed under the name Chloropicon laureae. RNAcentral describes it as "partial Bacterial large subunit ribosomal RNA". It matches the Rfam family "Bacterial large subunit ribosomal RNA", at positions 1959 to 2925 of the family's 2925-position model. Lineage: Eukaryota; Viridiplantae; Chlorophyta; Chloropicophyceae; Chloropicales; Chloropicaceae. The record is from RNAcentral.